This 465-nucleotide ribosomal RNA is filed under the name uncultured bacterium. Its description in RNAcentral is "partial 16S ribosomal RNA". It matches the Rfam family "Bacterial small subunit ribosomal RNA", at positions 28 to 507 of the family's 1533-position model. The record is from RNAcentral.
GACGAACGCUGGCGGCGCGCUUAACACAUGCAAGUCGAACGGAAAGGCCCUGCUUGCCGGGUACUCGAGUGGCGAACGGGUGAGUAACACGUGGGUGAUCUGCCCUGCACUUCGGGAUAAGCUUGGGAAACUGGGUCUAAUACCGGAUAGGACCGCACUUUAGUGCGUGUGGUGGAAAGUUUUUUCGGUGUAGGAUGAGCUCGCGGCCUAUCAGCUUGUUGGUGGGGUAAUGGCCUACCAAGGCGGCGACGGGUAGCCGGCCUGAGAGGGUGUACGGCCACAUUGGGACUGAGAUACGGCCCAGACUCCUACGGGAGGCAGCAGUGGGGAAUAUUGCACAAUGGGCGCAAGCCUGAUGCAGCGACGCCGCGUGGGGGAUGAAGGCCUUCGGGUUGUAAACUCCUUUCGCUAGGGACGAAGCUUUUUGUGACGGUACCUAGAUAAGAAGCACCGGCUAACUACGUG